GUUUGAAGUAAAAGCAACAUAAAAUCUAUUGUGAUAUAUACAGUGCAAAUACGUUGCUAUUGGAUUUUUGAAAACUUUCUAUGACAAAAUCGAUAGAUUUGAUAUGAAUAAGAACCUUUCAAAUAGAACGUAAGCAUUAUAAAAACAAUGAUAUUGAUUUUAAAAUCGAUCUGCAGCAACACAGGUUAACUGAUUGUAGAAAUGGAAAACGCAAUGAAAACGUUGGCAAUAUUAAGUUUGACAGUCUUUACAGUGUCUGCUUUCGGUAUUUCAAACAAUACCAGACAGGACAGUAACACAUUCUUUACUAUUGCAAACAUAAAAUCGCCUUUUGUUUGUGGAAUGCUUUGUUUACAGACAGUAAGGUAAGGCAAAUAUACAGUCGCUUUUUGUUUGUGGAAUGUUUUGUUUACAGGCAGUAAG
RNAcentral lists this long non-coding RNA (423 nucleotides) under Mytilus galloprovincialis (Mediterranean mussel). Lineage: Eukaryota; Metazoa; Mollusca; Bivalvia; Mytilida; Mytilidae. The record is from RNAcentral.